Molecule: ribosomal RNA, 504 nt
Filed under: uncultured bacterium
Lineage: Bacteria
Description: partial 16S ribosomal RNA
Rfam family: Bacterial small subunit ribosomal RNA
Source: RNAcentral
AUUGAACGCUGGCGGCAGGCCUAACACAUGCAAGUCGAACGGUAGCACAGAGAGCUUGCUCUCGGGUGACGAGUGGCGGACGGGUGAGUAACGUCUGGGAAACUGCCCGAUGGAGGGGGAUAACUACUGGAAACGGUAGCUAAUACCGCAUAACGUCGCAAGACCAAAGUGGGGGACCUUCGGGCCUCACACCAUCGGAUGUACCCAGAUGGGAUUAGCUAGUAGGUGGGGUAAUGGCUCACCUAGGCGACGAUCCCUAGCUGGUCUGAGAGGAUGACCGGCCACACUGGAACUGAGACACGGUCCAGACUCCUACGGGAGGCAGCAGUGGGGAAUAUUGCACAAUGGGCGCAAGCCUGAUGCAGCCAUGCCGCGUGUAUGAAGGAGGCCUUCGGGUUGUAAAGUACUUUCAGCGGGGAGGAAGGCGGUGAAGUUAAUAGCUUCACCGAUUGACGUUACCCGCAGAAGAAGCACCGGCUAACUCCGUGCCAGCCGCCGCCGUAA